Long non-coding RNA from Procambarus clarkii (red swamp crayfish), 1047 nucleotides. RefSeq lists it as uncharacterized. The record is from RefSeq and is a predicted model, not a curated record. Lineage: Eukaryota; Metazoa; Arthropoda; Malacostraca; Decapoda; Cambaridae.
AAUUACGUCCAUAUUCGGCCAUACGGGCAAACGGCCAAAAGCGACGUUCUUUUUAAGAGGACAGGUUUCGGCUGUUGAGUCGACGUGCUGGGUGAGGCGAUGAGGAAUCAUUUUUGUCCCCUAGAGAUCGUGUCGUGCGGUUGUGUUGCUGAAGAGCGUUAGUGGUCUGUUCUCAAGUUUGACCCAAUUGUUGUUGAAAGUGUCGAUGGGUCACUGGGUCCCACAGACCCCCUGGGGUACACUGAAUCAGUUUGUACAGUGUCACAACGCGAAUUCAUAGGGGCAAAAAUAUCAAAUAUUUAACAGUGUUGGAGUCGUGAGUGCGGUUUAUGGUGCCUGUGGCUGAGUUGACAGUAAAGUGUGGUGGUGGAGUUACCCAAAAUUGGUGGUAUCAGGCACAAGUUUCAGGUAAUGGGCGACUGGCAGCACACGUGGACCUUGUCAGGCAGUACAAGCUCCUAACACCCAGCGAGAGGUGUCAAGUUGAUGACUAGUGGCAAGAGUUGUGGAAUAAACGGAUUGUCGUUGUACUGAAAAAGCGUGGUGUGGUGUACGUUCGGCGCUGACCUGUUAAGGGGCUGGGUGGGCGGAAGACGUGAAGUUUGUGUUUGGAACAUCACCCACGUCGUCGUCUCGAGUAUGAAUGGACUAGUCAUUGCCGUGCAGGCUGUUAUUGGGAAAGAUAGCGAGUGGUGAGGAGGAAUACUUUACAGGAUGAGCUGAGCUGAGAUCGUAGCAGCAGUUGUGAAGAUUACAUCAGUAAUACUGGGAAGAUGUGGAUAAGGCGACGAGAACCUGAGGUGUAUAGAAAUGGAACGUGGACGUUAUAUAAUUGAUUGUUCUUUCAACAUAGUUGAAAUCAGAGAAGACUUGUGUAGAAAAACGUUAGUAGGCAGAGUAUUGAGAAAUGUAGUUGGAGAUAUAAUUGAAGACAGGAAUGAAGUAAUAUGAAUUGUUUGCAGUUAUGUGAUAAACGUGAAUAGUAAUCGAAAAAAGUAGUUAUAAUGCGUGGUAGGAGAUUGAAUUGAGAUUGAAUUGAAUUUUUUU